RNAcentral lists this ribosomal RNA (253 nucleotides) under uncultured bacterium. Its description in RNAcentral is "partial 16S ribosomal RNA". It matches the Rfam family "Bacterial small subunit ribosomal RNA", at positions 524 to 776 of the family's 1533-position model. The record is from RNAcentral.
UACAGAGACUGCAGGCGUUAUUCGGAUUCACUGGGCGUAAAGGGUGCGCAGGCGGCCGUGUGUGUGAGGCGUGAAAGCCCGGAGCUCAACUCCGGAAUUGCACCUCAAACUACACGGCUAGAGCAUUGGAGAGGGUAGCGGAAUUCACGGUGUAGCAGUGAAAUGCGUAGAUAUCGUGAGGAACACCAGAGGCGAAGGCGGCUACCUGGACAAUUGCUGACGCUCAGGCACGAAAGCGUGGGGAGCAAAAGGG